Molecule: ribosomal RNA, 429 nt
Filed under: Verrucomicrobiota bacterium
Lineage: Bacteria; Pseudomonadati; Verrucomicrobiota
Description: Verrucomicrobia bacterium partial 16S ribosomal RNA
Rfam family: Bacterial small subunit ribosomal RNA
Source: RNAcentral
UAGGGAAUCUUCCGCAAUGGACGAAAGUCUGACGGAGCAACGCCGCGUGAGUGAAGAAGGAUUUCGGUUCGUAAAACUCUGUUGUUAGGGAAGAAAAAAUGUAUAGUAACUAUAUACAAAAGAGACGGUACCUAACCAGAAAGCCACGGCUAACUACGUGCCAGCAGCCGCGGUAAUACGUAGGUGGCAAGCGUUGUCCGGAAUUAUUGGGCGUAAAGCGCGGGCAGGUGGUUUAGAAAGUCUGAUGUGAAAGCCCACGGCUCAACCGUGGAGGGUCAUUGGAAACUAAUAAACUUGAGUGCAGGAGAGAAAAGUGGAAUUCCUAGUGUAGCGGUGAAAUGCGUAGAGAUUAGGAGGAACACCGGUGGCGAAAGCGGCUUUUUGGCCUGCAACUGACACUGAGGCGCGAAAGCGUGGGGAGCAAACAGG